CUGGGUAUAGUUCAGUGGUAGAGCUUGUGCUUAGCAUGCACAAGAUCAUGGGUUCAAUCUAAUUACCAACC
This 71-nucleotide transfer RNA is filed under the name Camelus bactrianus (Bactrian camel). It matches the Rfam family "tRNA". Rfam says of the family: Transfer RNA (tRNA) molecules are approximately 80 nucleotides in length. The record is from Rfam by way of RNAcentral. Lineage: Eukaryota; Metazoa; Chordata; Mammalia; Artiodactyla; Camelidae. RNAcentral also lists the same sequence under 2 other names.